UACAGCUCGGAAUGCACCGGCGGUUGCCACUUCUGCACCAAUUUGCAAACCUGUGAGAACUAGGGAACCCGCACCGAAACCAACUGCGCCAAGCCGGAGACAGAAACUCCCGUAUUGCUGCGCCUGGAAUUCAGGUGAAGUAAAAGGUAGACAGAGCUUUCAACUGAGAGAUUGCAGAGUUGGGCAGGCAACGGAAGUCAGUUCACCGCUCAUCUGCGUCAGGGGCGGUAACAGGGGGACCGGAAGUGCCCGGAUAUGAGCUUCCGGCGCGAACAAUUUGCAACGUGAAAUUGAAUCAUCGACUCUGAUAAUCGUCGCGUCUGCCGCUGCUCGUCCCGGGAAUCUCUCAAAUGCAAUGGUGACUCGAGUGAAAUUAUUAUACUCCACGACAGUACCUGAAACAAAUCUUCUGCCUGAAAUUCACAACUUAUUACAUUAAACAAUCUCCGCGCGUUUAAUGAAGGAAAAUCAAAAGGAAAGAAAAAAUUGUUGCGAUACCAGACGUUCGCGUUCCUCAGAAACCACCUCUGACUUUUAUCUUUCAAUUUAUUUAUUCACUUUGCCUUCAGAUACAACGAAAUCGUGCGGUUCGUCGUAGGAAAAUAAAAAUAAAAUAUAGAAUAAAAUUUCAAACCUACUUUGCGAGGGGUAGAAGUUUUUCUGAUCAGAUUCGGAUUUGCGGGUAAAAUUGAAAUACAUAGUCAUUUUUGACACCCGGUAUGAGAAAUAUUUACACUACAGUAGGCGCAAUCAUUGCGCGUACCAAUUGGCUCUCACCCUUUGCCUCCAGUUUCCGCGUCAACCCCCGCGCUUACAAAAUACAAACUAAAUUCCGCUAUCAAUUCGGUCACACUCGUUUCAGCAUUCUUCUAUCUCUUAUAUAUUUUUUCGCACAUCCUCUCUGUCUAUCAAAAUCUAUACGUGGUAAAAUUAAACGUUAUAUUGAUGAAAUCGUGCGCCGGUGUAUAUAUAAAUGUAUAGUUUUCCAUUUCGGGGCUUCUGGCAAAGUGCACGGUGCAAGUGAUAUUGAAAAGAUCGAUGUUGAGAAUAUUUGUUUUUCCCUUUUUCAACCUAUAGAGACUUUGCCGUUUUAAUUUUUUCAAUCAAGACGUAACAUUGCGCGUUGUUCAUUACUACCCCUUAUGUACAUGUAUUAUGAACGGAAAACAGACGUAUAUAGAACUUUCAGAUGAACCAAAUUCUAUCUCUGCGAGUUUUGUAUAGUUUGAUGGAAAUACACCUAGACAAUGGAGUAUAGGGUGGUCCGGAUAGAUAGCUAUACAUAUUAUCUAUUCACUAAAUUGUCUGGCUAGUUUUCAAUCAUGUGAACAUGCGUCUGACCAACCGCGACAAAAAUUUUUUUUCCAACGAAACAAUGUAAUGGACACUCGAACUAUAAACUCUAUACGUUUUAAAUAUCCCUCGACAAUUUUACAUACCGAUAUAACUGCUGUAUACAUACACCCGGUGUACGGGUGUCACGUCGUACACAUUCAUAGAUACUCUUCCUCUGUGGCAAAAUUUAUUCCAAUAUUUUCAAUUAAAAGUUAGACAAAGCCCUGUUUGAUAGCGAGAUGUGUUCAACAACGGUUCAGUCGCCAAGUUAAAAAUAUGACACGUCGUCUCUAGUCAAUAUAUGCACGUAUACAUAAUGGUCAUAUACAAUUUAUACAACCGUUGAUUGAAGCAUUUAUUUCUAUGCACAUACAAGCGCGUAUAUCGACCACCUCCAUACAUGUGGAGCAUAUUAUUCAUAUGAACUAUCGACGAGUCUUCGAUUCCUAAUAUUUCUUUACGAUAAUCUUUUUAUUCUCUUUAUUCUUGUUGAGCGUUGAUCAUCAAAGAUCCGUUCAAACUUUUUUUUCCGAAAAUCAAAAAGCAGCAAAAACUAUUCAGCCUCUGCAAAGUCUGGAUUUUGAGCUGAGGAUCAACAUUUCUGUUUCACACUAUUUGAGUGUACCUAUUUUUUACGUAUUUCGAUCAUUGGAACAGAAAUUUGUCGACUCAAAUAUUUUACGACCAACAUCAAUCGAGAUGUCUUAUUUUUUUCUGUUCCGAAAAGCGAAAAAUUAGCAAUAACUCGGCCAUUUUGAGAGAUAUCUCAAUUUUUCCGGUACGAAAAACGAAAUAUCGACAAUAACUCGACAAUUCUGACGGAUAGACUGAACCGAUCGGCAGAUUCAGAUUUCAAAAAAAAAAUCGCGAGCAGCUAUCGAUGGUUCCGAGAAAAACCACCCGGUAUCGACCGAUGCUGUAUGAUAUUCGCGAAGGUAUAGUUUGUUGGCGGGCUAAUAAUUAGAUGCGUAUGUACCGAAGAGCUAACCACAGAUGUCACACGCCUGUCAGAAAUGCUGUCACUCGCCAUUAGGGAGACAAAGAUGGCCAGCCACACGUGUGCAACUCGACGAGUUACCAAAUAAUUCGAGUCGACAGUCCAAUAUUACUAAUAAAUAUGAACGAAGUUCUGAAAAAAAAAUCCACACACACACACACACACUCACAAAUAAAAACGAAAGAUAAGAAGAAAACGUAACGAAGUAAAAACCAAAUAAAAGUUGGACUAAAACUCUGAUUAAACACGAACAAGUGUAACCACAUGGAUACCAUUUAUCCACGGCAAUGCAUAAAACAUUAUUUAUGGUUUAUUGAAUUUGGUUGAUGAAUUUCAUCUUUCCUUUCGUUUUAUUUUUUUUUCAAUCGUAUCAACGUGGCAACCCGCACAAUCUGCAGAGUAUAUUGCGUCUCAGAAAUUUAUUAAUUUGUUGAACCUUGAUUGAUUACGUUAGUGAAAGAGAAAUUUCAAAAAGUUGACGACGUAAAGUUAAUAAAACUGCGAGGAAAACGAGUAGAAAUAAAAAAUUGUAAAAACAAAA
Long non-coding RNA from Athalia rosae (coleseed sawfly), 2873 nucleotides. RefSeq lists it as uncharacterized. The record is from RefSeq and is a predicted model, not a curated record. Lineage: Eukaryota; Metazoa; Arthropoda; Insecta; Hymenoptera; Athaliidae. The transcript has 2 exons.